RNAcentral lists this transfer RNA (66 nucleotides) under Pyrops spinolae. RNAcentral's name for it is "tRNA-Asn". The record is from RNAcentral. Lineage: Eukaryota; Metazoa; Arthropoda; Insecta; Hemiptera; Fulgoridae.
UUAACUGAAGCUAAAUUAGAAGCAAUUCACUGUUAAUGAAAAAAUUGAAAUAAAAAUCCAGUUAAA